RNAcentral lists this ribosomal RNA (253 nucleotides) under uncultured bacterium. RNAcentral's name for it is "partial 16S ribosomal RNA". It matches the Rfam family "Bacterial small subunit ribosomal RNA", at positions 524 to 776 of the family's 1533-position model. The record is from RNAcentral.
UACGGGGGGGGCAAGCGUUGUUCGGAAUUACUGGGCGUAAAGGGCUCGUAGGCGGCCAACUAAGUCGGAUGUGAAAUCCCCAGGCUUAACCUGGGAACUGCAUCCGAUACUGGAUGGCUUGAAUCCGGGAGAGGGAUGCAGAAUUCCAGGUGUAGCGGUGAAAUGCGUAGAUAUCUGGAGGAAUACCAGUGGCGAAGGCGGCUCACUGGCCCGGUACUGACGCUGAGGUGCGAAAGCGUGGGGAGCAAACAGG